AACAGGCUAGUUCCGCCCAAGAGUCCAUAUCGACGGCGGAGUUCGGCACCUCGAUGUCGGCUCAUCUUAUCCUGGGGGUGGAGAAGCUCCCAAGGGUUUGGCUGUUCGCCAAUUAAAAAGGUACGUGAGCUGGGUUCAGACCGUCGUGAGACAGGUUGGUCUCCUAUCUACUGCACUCGUUGAUUCUUGAGGGGGGUUCUUCCUAGUACGAGAGGACCGGAAGGAGGCGACCUCUGGUCUACCUGCUGUUCCGCCAGGAGCACCGCAGGGCAGCUAUGUCGUUGAGUGAUAAGCGCUGAAAGCAUCUAAGCGCGAAGCAUGCCCCAAGAUUAGGAAUCGUUAUCAGAUCCCUCGAAGACUACGAGGUUGAUAGGCUCCAGGUGUAAGUGCCGCAAGGCAUUCAGCCGAGGAGUACUAAUAGAUCGAGCCGUCUUGU
RNAcentral lists this ribosomal RNA (436 nucleotides) under Candidatus Giovannonibacteria bacterium RIFCSPHIGHO2_12_FULL_44_22. RNAcentral describes it as "bacterial LSU rRNA". It matches the Rfam family "Bacterial large subunit ribosomal RNA", at positions 2476 to 2925 of the family's 2925-position model. The record is from RNAcentral. Lineage: Bacteria; Candidatus Giovannoniibacteriota.